This 487-nucleotide ribosomal RNA is filed under the name Theileria sinensis. Its description in RNAcentral is "SSU rRNA". It matches the Rfam family "Eukaryotic small subunit ribosomal RNA", at positions 509 to 1042 of the family's 1831-position model. Lineage: Eukaryota; Apicomplexa; Aconoidasida; Piroplasmida; Theileriidae. The record is from RNAcentral.
AAWUGGAAUGAUGGGAAUUUAAACCUCUUCCAGAGUAUCAAUUGGAGGGCAAGUCUGGUGCCAGCAGCCGCGGUAAUUCCAGCUCCAAUAGCGUAUAUUAAAAUUGUUGCAGUUAAAAAGCUCGUAGUUGAAUUUCUGCUGCAUCGUCGCAUCUCUUGCUGAGUGCUUCGUUUCGGCUUAUUUCGGAUUGAUUUUUUCUUUCCGGAUGAUUACUUUGAGAAAAUUAGAGUGCUCAAAGCAGGCUUUUGCCUUGAAUAGUUUAGCAUGGAAUAAUAAAGUAGGACUUUGGUUCUAUUUUGUUGGUUUUAGGUACCAAAGUAAUGGUUAAUAGGAACAGUUGGGGGCAUUCGUAUUUAACUGUCAGAGGUGAAAUUCUUAGAUUUGUUAAAGACGAACUACUGCGAAAGCAUUUGCCAAGGAUGUUUUCAUUAAUCAAGAACGAAAGUUAGGGGAUCGAAGACGAUCAGAUACCGUCGUAGUCCUACCA